This is a long non-coding RNA of Fundulus heteroclitus (mummichog), 1208 nucleotides long. RefSeq lists it as uncharacterized. The transcript has 3 exons. The record is from RefSeq and is a predicted model, not a curated record. Lineage: Eukaryota; Metazoa; Chordata; Actinopteri; Cyprinodontiformes; Fundulidae.
AAAGAAAGAAGGCGGAUUUUCAUCAAGACUAAUGGAAAGCAGCAGCAGCGCUGGCAGUAGUGCUGAGUACACCUUUAAAUGUAAGUAGUUUGUUUUUAUUUUUUUAACUGAACAUUAUUAAAAUACAUGACGGUAACGGAGCCACCGGAAUUUGUAGGGCCAGCUAAAGCUAAAGCUUAGAGCUAAUCUGUUGAUACGAGACGUUCAGCAACAUUAAAAGCCUUCAUAAAAAUGUCACAAUUUUUGAUUUUAACUUACAUUUUAUUGUAACUGUGCUGAUAGCCGUAUCCUUCACAAAUCCGAUCAAUUUAUUCUCAUGCAGUUUAUUACAGAUGAUUAGAACUGUCAAAGCUUAAUGCAGCUGAAGAAAUAACAUCAGUCCAGCUGUACUGGGCUGUUAAUACUGCAAACGUUUUGUUUGAAUACUCAAUAACGUAUAGUUAAUUUACAGUACAGUAUAAUAAGGUUUAAAGUAUAAUUCACUUGAAGAACAAUAUCUGCGUAAUUAUACAGAACAGUCAUUUUGCCUGUUGACAUAACAGAAAUAUGCUUUACAUUUCAUUUUGUUCUAGGGAGCAGGGAGGAGUUGAUAAAACUCCGUGGGCAAAAUUACCACCUCUUUGCCGGGGCCAAAAACACUGCCGCAUUCGGAUGGAGAACAAUCCUGCAAAAAAUGGGCCUGGAGGGUGAAGUUGAGCCACAACAGGCCAAAAAAAAGUGGGACAACUUGAAAAAAAAAUACGAAGAAUGCAAAGAUCCAGGGACAGGGCAGGGGGUCAGUGGGAAGCCUACUGCUGCCACCUGGCCAUGGUUUGUCCUCAUGGAGGAGGUAUUAGGACAGAGGCCCUCUAUUGCCCCACCUGUCCUAAUUGCCUCCAUCCCUGAGGACGCACCAGGGCCAGGUGCUGCAGAGGCUGAGCAGCAUCAGGGGGAAGAUGAGGAAGAAAAUGAGGAUGAAAGGCCAGGAGAGAGGAAGGAAAGGAGGAAGAGAAGUCGGAGUGACGAGUUGGUGGAUUUAAUCAGGGAGGAUAUCAGAUGGCAGAGGGAGGCGGAGGAGAGAAGAGAAAGAGAGAGUCGGGAAAGGAUGGACAGAUUAUUUGAUUUAUUGGAGAGGAUGGUGGACAGACGUUACAUUUUGUUAGUGUUUUUUUUUACAAGUUCAGGUUCUGUGUUGCUGUUGUUGUUAAAUUAAACUAUUAAAUUUUUUA